UGCUCAGGAACAAAGAAACGCGGCACAGAAUGUUUAUAGGUCUGUUGAACACGACCAGAAAACUGGCCUAACGACGUUUGGUCAGUUCCAUCAACAUCAUAGCCAGAUGCCCAGAGAUUAGAGCGCAUGACAAGUAAAGGACGGUUGUCAGCGUCAUAAGAGGUUUUACCUCCAAAUGAAGAAAUAACAUCAUGGUAACGCUGCAUGAAGUAAUCACGUUCU
This 222-nucleotide ribosomal RNA is filed under the name uncultured prokaryote. RNAcentral's name for it is "partial 16S ribosomal RNA". The record is from RNAcentral.